This is a non-coding RNA of Hysterangium stoloniferum, 70 nucleotides long. The record is from the annotation of a GenBank genome assembly. NCBI's taxonomy places the organism in Eukaryota, Fungi, Basidiomycota, Agaricomycetes, Hysterangiales, Hysterangiaceae.
GGUCAGGUGGUGUAAUGGGUAACACCCCCGCUAUAUGCAGAAGCCCUGGGUUCAAUCCCCAGUCUGGCCA